GAUGAACGCUGGCGGCGUGCCUAAUACAUGCAAGUCGAGCGAACAGACGAGGAGCUUGCUCCUUUGACGUUAGCGGCGGACGGGUGAGUAACACGUAGGUAACCUACCUAUAAGACUGGGAUAACUUCGGGAAACCGGAGCUAAUACCGGAUAAUAUUUCGAACCGCAUGGUUCGAUAGUGAAAGAUGGCUUUGCUAUCACUUAUAGAUGGACCUGCGCUGUAUUAGCUAGUUGGUAAGGUAACGGCUUACCAAGGCAACGAUACGUAGCCGACCUGAGAGGGUGAUCGGCCACACUGGAACUGAGACACGGUCCAGACUCCUACGGGAGGCAGCAGUAGGGAAUCUUCCGCAAUGGGCGAAAGCCUGACGGAGCAACGCCGCGUGAGUGAUGAAGGUCUUCGGAUCGUAAAACUCUGUUAUUAGGGAAGAACAAACGUGUAAGUAACUGUGCACGUCUUGACGGUACCUAAUCAGAAAGCCACGGCUAACUACGUG
RNAcentral lists this ribosomal RNA (497 nucleotides) under uncultured bacterium. Its description in RNAcentral is "partial 16S ribosomal RNA". It matches the Rfam family "Bacterial small subunit ribosomal RNA", at positions 28 to 507 of the family's 1533-position model. The record is from RNAcentral.